AACCCAUGAUGUGGACACUUCCGCAAGAGGUCCUUGAAUCGUUCCCAAGCCUAAUAAAGAUUCGAGAUCCAUCUGAACAAAUGAAGAUAUCUCAUUACGAAGCUU
Dioscorea cayenensis subsp. rotundata (Guinea yam) is the source of this 105-nucleotide small nucleolar RNA. Lineage: Eukaryota; Viridiplantae; Streptophyta; Magnoliopsida; Dioscoreales; Dioscoreaceae. The record is from RefSeq and is a predicted model, not a curated record.